This 253-nucleotide ribosomal RNA is filed under the name uncultured bacterium. RNAcentral describes it as "partial 16S ribosomal RNA". It matches the Rfam family "Bacterial small subunit ribosomal RNA", at positions 524 to 776 of the family's 1533-position model. The record is from RNAcentral.
UACGUAGGGUGCAAGCGUUGUCCGGAAUUAUUGGGCGUAAAGAGUUCGUAGGCGGUCUGUCGCGUCUGCUGUGAAAACUCAGGGCUUAACCCUGAGCUUGCAGUGGGUACGGGCAGACUAGAGUGCGGUAGGGGAGACUGGAAUUCCUGGUGUAGCGGUGAAAUGCGCAGAUAUCAGGAGGAACACCGAUGGCGAAGGCAGGUCUCUGGGCCGAUACUGACGCUGAGGAGCGAAAGCGUGGGGAGCGAACAGG